Molecule: ribosomal RNA, 465 nt
Filed under: uncultured bacterium
Lineage: Bacteria
Description: partial 16S ribosomal RNA
Rfam family: Bacterial small subunit ribosomal RNA
Source: RNAcentral
CCUACGGGUGGCAGCAGUGGGGAAUAUUGCGCAAUGGGCGAAAGCCUGACGCAGCGACGCCGCGUGAGGGAUGAAGGUCUUCGGAUUGUAAACCUCUGUCAGCAGGGAAGAACGGUCACUGUGCUAAUCAGCAGUGAAUUGACGGUACCUGCAAAGGAAGCACCGUCUAACUCCGUGCCAGCAGCCGCUGUAAUACGGAGGGUGCGAGCGUUAAUCGGAAUUACUGGGCGUAAAGGGCUCGUAGGCGGUAUGUCAAGUCAAGGGGGAAAUCCCCGCGCUCAACGUGGGAACUGCCGUUGAAACUGGCAAACUGGAGUGUGUGAGAGGAUAGUGGAAUUCCAGGUGUAGGAGUGAAAUCCGUAGAUAUCUGGAGGAACAUCAGUGGCGAAGGCGACUAUCUGGCACAUAACUGACGCUGAGGAGCGAAAGCGUGGGUAGCAAACAGGAUUAGAUACCCUGGUAGUC